GUCGCAUCGCAGCCAACCGGAGGCACGAUGAUCCCUAGAUGUGCGGCGUAAGUUAUCCAGCCCUCGGCAUGGCCAUAAGCGGAGCUGAAUGUCAGAAGAGUCUCAUCUUGUGAAGCAUGGGCGCAGGCUCGAGCGACCGUAUUCCCUGGAAUUUCACGGUGAAGAGGAUGCGUAUCGCCUGCGCUCGUAACGGUCUCCAGCUGGGGAUGCAGAGAGAGAGGAAGCGCACCAAAGAGCAGCACAGGAGGGGAGCAGAGCACCGUAAGGAGGUGCAAAGCUGGAUAUUGACCCCUUAGGAUACAGACACGGGAGGUGACUUGGGCCAGGUGUGGUGCAAGGAUGGCACCCGAAAAUGAUGCAGGCCAGGUGCCGCAGGGAGCCUCGGAGGGGCGAAGCCACGUGCCGACGAGCAGUCAGAGAAGGCGCUGUGCGGCCACCUUUGUGACCGGAUGGCCAUUUGAGGUGCCACGAGGGAUGACAGCUGCAGGGUCAGUCUCUGGACCGAGCAGGUGA
Molecule: long non-coding RNA, 513 nt
Organism: Grus americana (Whooping crane)
Lineage: Eukaryota; Metazoa; Chordata; Aves; Gruiformes; Gruidae
Exons: 8
Source: RefSeq, a predicted model, not a curated record